GAGUUUGAUCGUGGCUCAGGAUGAACGCUGGCGGCGUGCCUAAUACAUGCAAGUCGAGCGAACGGACGAGAAGCUUGCUUCUCUGAUGUUAGCGGCGGACGGGUGAGUAACACGUGGAUAACCUACCUAUAAGACUGGGAUAACUUCGGGAAACCGGAGCUAAUACCGGAUAAUAUUUUGAACCGCAUGGUUCAAAAGUAAAAGACGGUCUUGCUGUCACUUAUAGAUGGAUCCGCGCUGCAUUAGCUAGUUGGUAAGGUAACGGCUUACCAAGGCAACGAUGCAUAGCCGACCUGAGAGGGUGAUCGGCCACACUGGAACUGAGACACGGUCCAGACUCCUACGGGAGGCAGCAGUAGGGAAUCUUCCGCAAUGGGCGAAAGCCUGACGGAGCAACGCCGCGUGAGUGAUGAAGGUCUUCGGAUCGUAAAACUCUGUUAUUAGGGAAGAACAUAUGUGUAAGUAACUGUGCACAUCUUGACGGUACCUAAUCAGAAAGCCACGGCUAACUACGUGCC
RNAcentral lists this ribosomal RNA (518 nucleotides) under uncultured microorganism. Its description in RNAcentral is "bacterial SSU rRNA". It matches the Rfam family "Bacterial small subunit ribosomal RNA", at positions 9 to 509 of the family's 1533-position model. The record is from RNAcentral.